GAGGAGAAGUUGACAUCGGGUGAUCUUCAAUCUACAGAUAUUUUUCUCAAAAAUUGGAACAAAAGAAUUACUUCUGAGUCCGAGUCUGAGUCUAAAAGUUCAGAAAGCGAUACAAUGUCAAACUCCUCUACUGAAGAUGUUAUUGAAAUUGAAAAGCCCAAACAAGUCAAGAAGAGAUCCAAAGUUGAAUCGUCUACAAGCAAAACCAGAAUUGGCCAAACCAAAACAGAAGUUUGUUGCCUGGGGAUCGGAAGCUCUCAUACAAUUCCUUAAAUCUAUUGGUAAACAGACAAGCGAGAGAUUAUCACAGUAUGAGGCGGCCUCUAUCGUUGGCCGGUACAUCAGGGUGAACAACCUAUCUGAUCCGGUGCAGAAAAGGAGGAUUUUUUGUGAUGCGAGAUUAGAAUCUCUGUUUAAGAAGAAAACAUUUAACAGAAACAAACUAUGCGACUACCUUGAACCCCAUUUUAUUGAAAACAUUGAAGUAACCGAAGAUGAACUAUUGUCGAAUUAUUCGGAAGAAGAUGAUUGUGAACUGUUAGUGUCCACUAAAAAGAAAAGAACAUCUUGCAUAAAUAAGGAGAGGUUGCUGAAAUUGAGAAAGUGCAGGAGGCGCCAAAAAGCCGAUUUGCAUCCAUUGUCAAAGAAAACAUCAAAAUUGUCUUCCUGAUGAAGAGUCUAGUGAAACAAUUGUUGGAUAACCACCUGCCUGAGGAUUUUGAUUCCAAAGUAGUAGGCUGCUUUGUGAAAAUCAGAUCAUACCCAUUGGACUACUUGCAGAAAAACAGAUGUCAACUCGCUUUAAUAAGAGGCGUGAAUCGGAUUUUGGAGAAUGAUGAGAUGAAGGUUACCCUUAGUGGUGUCAAUUUAAGCGGACCUUGAACUGAAGGCCAAAUCUUUGCAUGUCGAUAUCACAAAUCAUGCAAUUGACAAGGAAUUAGAAUCUUUGGUAAAUAAAAUCCAUACAUGCAAUGAGAAA
Molecule: long non-coding RNA, 979 nt
Organism: Impatiens glandulifera
Lineage: Eukaryota; Viridiplantae; Streptophyta; Magnoliopsida; Ericales; Balsaminaceae
Exons: 4
Source: RefSeq, a predicted model, not a curated record